Molecule: long non-coding RNA, 1338 nt
Filed under: Pogona vitticeps (central bearded dragon)
Lineage: Eukaryota; Metazoa; Chordata; Lepidosauria; Squamata; Agamidae
Description: lncRNA (ENSPVIG00000020101.1)
Source: RNAcentral
AUGCAGCUCCCCUUUGUCGGGAUGAUCCUGUUUUCUCUGCACACUGCCAAAGCACUGGAGAGCUCAGAAGCACCUCCGAAGAUGGCACGGAUCGUGGCUGGUCUCGGGGAGACUGUAACGGUCAACUGCAGCCUUCCAGCAGGUUUUCGUCUUGGGCCAGAUGACAUCAGCUUUUACAAGGAAAAACAAGGCCAAAGCCUGGAGAAGAUUGACUUCCCUUCUAAAUACUCAAACAGAGCAGCUGGAGAUCCAUGGGCUUUGACCUUGCGCAACCUGGAAAGAAAUGACUCUGGGGUGUAUUAUUGCGUUGCCUUUUUAAGGCAGAAGUUCACAAUCAGAAACGGAGUUAUCCUGAUUGUCUCAGGUGCUCUGAGUGCCGUCCGUCCAUCCAUGUUGGUGCCUUCUGACCAGGACUGGAGUCAACUCAACCACAGCAUUCCUCUCCUCUGCCUCUUCUUUGAUGCCAGCCCUUCUUGGGAUAUUGUCUCCUGGAAUAUCGGCGGAGAAACAUCUCAGGAACCAAAGGACAUUGAGAUGAUAGACGAGGAAGGAGCUUUGACCCUCUGGAGCCUGAAGCUGAUUGCUCCAAGGACAUGGGCUCACGGGGUGUCUUAUACCUGUUGGGACCCAAAAAACAGAAGUACCUCUACUCAAGAAAGAGAGGUGCCAAAGACAGGAACCUGCUUGAAGAUGUUACAUUUUGGCACACCUUGCAUUGCCCUCCUCUUCCUGAGCCUCCUUUUAAGCCUGCUCUUCAGAAAGCAUCUUCCUGGAGGAAAGACAAAGAAAACAGAAAAUGGAAUCCCCAUGAGAGAGAUCCCACAGACGGAGUAUGCAGAGCUGACAGGCAACAAACGAAUGGUGGUGAAAACGCAUUGAUCAAUAUCAGUAACAGUUUGUGCUGUUUUCAGCAGAAUCGAAACAUAAGGAAAGGGGGUUUAUUAUAAAGCUUAGCAUUUUCCAAUUUGCUGAGUUCAUGUGCUUGGAUUAAACCCUUUUAAAAUGCAUAGACAUGCUCUUUGCUCUCAUUCUUAACCAUAUUCUGAUGGGCAAAUCCAAUUUUCUGUGCAUUUUGUGCAAUGGGGAGGAAAUGUUCUCUUUGCACGUGUGUGUCUUGUGUGUGUUCUCUCCAGAGAACAGUGCCAGAGAAAAGUGCAUAGGACGGAAGCAUUAAUGGUCUGUGGGGAAAAGGCAGAGGGUGGUUUCUGCCAGGAAGCCUUGAUCUCCUCCUCCUGUUGUUCUUCUGCAUUUAGCUUCCCCCCCCCCACCUAUACAUAACACAGGAGACCACAGGGUGGGGAAAAUAAGUGGCAACUAAUAAACUUAGAGAUCUUAUCA